This 620-nucleotide long non-coding RNA is filed under the name Hordeum vulgare. RNAcentral describes it as "long non-coding RNA (HVUL_LNC002823)". The record is from RNAcentral. Lineage: Eukaryota; Viridiplantae; Streptophyta; Magnoliopsida; Poales; Poaceae.
UGGAGGUUUGGGGCAAUGGAUGGCGCCCCACUAACUUCCCCGAGUUCUACCAGCUCCUUGCUGGAGGCUCGGGCCAGGUUUGCAGAUUGACAUGGGUCAAUUUUGAUGCCUUGGCAUGGUCGCUUUGGUGUGUUACGAAUAAGCUAGUGAUUGAGCACAUAUUUCCUAGCCGGGCCACUGAUGAUACAUAUAAAUUGUGUGGAUUCUUGCAGUUGUGGAGGCCCUUAUCCAAGCGAUGGGAUAGGGCGGUGGUGGACCAACUGACGAGGAGAUAUGAAGAACUGGCGGCUCAUCUCCUGAUGAUUACCUAUCCUCCUUGAGGAUGUAUCUUCUAUUAUGUUCAGGCUUGUUGUUGCUGUGCCCGCAGCGUGAACCUCUUUCUCUCCUCUUGUUUCCCUUGUUUUUUCUUGCUAUGGACUUCCGUUUGUUCGGAUUGGUUGUAUUGUUCAUGCUUUUUAUCUAUAAAGCGGGGCACGAAGUCUUUUUGGGUAAAUGUAGCGAUAUAAAUGAGAUCAGGUGAGGUCAAACUGAUCACCAAUUGAAUUUGCUAUUCUCAGCGCCUUUUCUCGGUGUGACAGUGCUAGACGUUUGAUUUGUUUAAUUAACUACUGAUUGAGUGG